This 500-nucleotide ribosomal RNA is filed under the name uncultured bacterium. Its description in RNAcentral is "partial 16S ribosomal RNA". It matches the Rfam family "Bacterial small subunit ribosomal RNA", at positions 30 to 523 of the family's 1533-position model. The record is from RNAcentral.
AUUGAACGCUGGCGGCAUGCUUUACACGUGCAGGUCGAACGGCAGCACGGACUUCGGUCUGGUGGCGAGUGGCGAACGGGUGAGUAAUGUAUCGGAACGUACCAUUGAGUGGGGGAUAACGUAGCGAAAGUUACGCUAAUACCGCAUAUUCUCUCCGGAGGAAGGCAGGGGACCGCAAGGCCUUGCGCUCUUUGAGCGGCCGAUAUCAGAUUAGCUAGUUGGUGGGGUAAAAGCUCACCGAGGCGACGAUCUGUAGCGGGUCUGAGAGGAUGAUCCGCCACACUGGAACUGGGACACGGUCCAGACUCCUACGGGAGGCAGCAGUGGGGAAUUUUGGACAAUGGGGGCAACCCUGAUCCAGCCAUGCCGCGUGAGUGAAGAAGGCCUUCGGGUUGUAAAGCUCUUUCGGCCGGGAAAAAAUCGCAUGGGCUGAUAUCCUGUGUGGAUGAUGGUACCGGAAUAAGAAGCACCGGCUAACUACGUGCCAGCAGCCGCCGUAA